GGAGCGGUAUCGAAGAGGUCAUAACGGCCCCGACUCGAAAUCGGGUAAACCUGUAAAAGGGUCCGUGGGUUCGAAUCCCACCCGCUCCGCCA
This 92-nucleotide transfer RNA is filed under the name Oscillospiraceae bacterium. Its description in RNAcentral is "tRNA-Ser". It matches the Rfam family "tRNA". Rfam says of the family: Transfer RNA (tRNA) molecules are approximately 80 nucleotides in length. Their secondary structure includes four short double-helical elements and three loops (D, anti-codon, and T loops). The record is from RNAcentral. Lineage: Bacteria; Bacillati; Bacillota; Clostridia; Eubacteriales; Oscillospiraceae.